This 428-nucleotide ribosomal RNA is filed under the name Microbacterium thalli. RNAcentral describes it as "bacterial SSU rRNA". It matches the Rfam family "Bacterial small subunit ribosomal RNA", at positions 23 to 447 of the family's 1533-position model. Lineage: Bacteria; Bacillati; Actinomycetota; Actinomycetes; Micrococcales; Microbacteriaceae. The record is from RNAcentral.
CUCAGAUUGAACGCUGGCGGCAGGCCUAACACAUGCAAGUCGAACGGUAACAGGAAACAGCUUGCUGUUUCGCUGACGAGUGGCGGACGGGUGAGUAAUGUCUGGGAAACUGCCUGAUGGAGGGGGAUAACUACUGGAAACGGUAGCUAAUACCGCAUAACGUCGCAAGACCAAAGAGGGGGACCUUCGGGCCUCUUGCCAUCGGAUGUGCCCAGAUGGGAUUAGCUAGUAGGUGGGGUAACGGCUCACCUAGGCGACGAUCCCUAGCUGGUCUGAGAGGAUGACCAGCCACACUGGAACUGAGACACGGUCCAGACUCCUACGGGAGGCAGCAGUGGGGAAUAUUGCACAAUGGGCGCAAGCCUGAUGCAGCCAUGCCGCGUGUAUGAAGAAGGCCUUCGGGUUGUAAAGUACUUUCAGCGGGGAGG